Molecule: ribosomal RNA, 1456 nt
Filed under: Amblyospora rugosa
Lineage: Eukaryota; Fungi; Microsporidia; Amblyosporidae
Description: SSU rRNA
Rfam family: Microsporidia small subunit ribosomal RNA
Source: RNAcentral
CACCAGGUUGAUUCUGCCUGACGUGGACGCUUGCCUCGGAGAUUAAGCCAUGCAAGUCUGUGAAUAUUAUUGGAACAGUGAACGGCUCAGUAUAACACGUCUAUCUACCCACUUGCAUUAAUAACCAUGGGAAACUAUGGCUAAUAUUGUGGAUGAGGAUGUGACCUAUCAGCUUGACGGUACGGUAAGUGCGUACCGAGGCGAUAACGGGUAACGGGGAAUAUGGGUUUUAUUCCGGAGAGGGAGCCUGAGAGAUGGCUGCCACGUCCAAGGACGGCAGCAGGCGCGAAACUUACCCAAUGAACAUUGAGGUAGUUACGGGGCGUACUUUUUGUAUGAAGUGUGUGUAAAAAGCAUGCCGAAGUACUGGAGGGCAAGUCUGGUGCCAGCAGCCGCGGUAAUACCAGCUCCAGUAGCGUCUGUGUUUAUUGCUGCGGUUAAAAUGUGCGUAGUCUGGUUGCGGGCCUGAGUCAAAGACGCACUUUCGUGGUGUGGAGGAUUUCAGGAACCCAGGCCUUGAGACAGGGAAGAGGUGACGAUAUUUGGUUGUGAGAGGUGAAAAUCGAUGACCUGCUAAGGAGCGACAGAGGCGAAAGCGGUCACCAGGAACUGAUCUGACGAUCAAGCACGUGAGCAGGAGUAUCGAAGAGGAUUAGAGACCCACGUAGUUCCUUGCAGUCAACGAUGCCAACAGUGUGGUGGAACAUCCAUUGCGCGAGCGAAAGCUAGUUUGUAGGCUCCGGGGAUAGUACGGACGCAAGUUUGAAACUUGAAGAAAUUGACGGAAGGACACCACAAGGAGUGGAGUGUGCGGGUUAAUUUGACUCAACGCGGGAAAACUUACCCGGGCAGGCAAUAGUCUUGAGAUGCUGAUGCAGAUGACAUUGCGCGUGGUGCAUGGCCGUUCUUAACACGUGGGGUGACCUGUCUGGUCAAAUCUGAUAACGCGUGAGAGGUGAUUAGUCAUACGCCAAGUUUAGCUUUGUGUGUGAUUAGACGAUGUGUGUAAGCACAAGGAAGAUGCACCCAAUAACAGGUCUGUGAUGCCCGUAGAUGUCCGGGGCUCCACGCGCACUACAAUGGAAGACAGUAAGUAUAGAUAGUAGUUUUUCGUAGUUGGGAUUGACGUAUGUAAUUAUGUCAUGAACUUGGAAUUCCUAGUAGUUGGUAGUCAUUAACGACCGACGAAUAAGUCCCUGUUCUUUGUACACACCGCCCGUCGUUAUCUAAGAUGGAAGUGCGGGUGAAGAUGUGAAUUGCUCUGUGCAUGCACGUGAGUGAGUGUACAGAUUACUGAAAAGGCUUGCCUUUGAAGUUAGGCAUGAGCAUAAGAACCCGUGCAGCUAGAUUGGAUGUAAGUCGUAACAAGGUAACCACGACGUGGUUUGUGCUGCCCGGUGGGAUGGUGGCAACCAGGAGGAUGGUUCUUCCCCGUUGGGUUAUUCUUCUCCCGAGU